Molecule: unclassified non-coding RNA, 914 nt
Filed under: Hevea brasiliensis (rubber tree)
Lineage: Eukaryota; Viridiplantae; Streptophyta; Magnoliopsida; Malpighiales; Euphorbiaceae
Source: RNAcentral
GUUAGAAUAGAUUCAUUGAAAAAAGGGGCUUGAAGCUCAAUACAUUAAUUGGCUAUACCAACAUUAUGUGAAGAUUUUUAGAAUAGGAUUUAGAAACCCAAAAUAAAGUAGGUCCAUGGCCAGAACAAGAAGUCUAACUACCCAAAAAAUAUCCUAGCCCAAACAAAUCGGCUCCUAAUUGAGACAAUUUGUCCACUCGAACCCUAAUUUGGAAGACCAAAGAGUAGUAUUGUCGUUGGGAAUGAAGCCUCACAUCCGGAAGGGAAAUGGAGCCAAUUGAAGAAUGCUAGAGUUGAAGAUGGCUGAAAUGCCUACAGCAAAACCCCAAUAAAAAUUAUACCAAAGAAUUCGAGUGGCAACAACCAAUCAUUAUCUGAAUUAGUUGAAACACAAGGCCAUGGAAGCCGGAACCUCUGAGACUCUGGAGAAAGAAUAGAAAAGGAAUUGAUAAAGUGCAAGACUUCUCAACCUCUUAUAGCCAGAAAGGGUAGCUGAUGGAGGGGGCUAACAUUCACACCCUCAUGAUGCUAUCUUCCUUCCAACUUAGCAAAUUGAAGCCAUCUCUAAAGUCAAGAUCUACACCCACACAUAAGAAGCACACCCAACACAGAAGAAACACAUGUAGAUUUAAAUAAUGCUCUUUUAAUUUCGCACAGAUCUGGAGGUAAAACACCAUCAAAAACUAUAUACAAACCAACCAAUAAAAGGGAAGGGCAAACCCACGCACAUCAGGCCGGGGAAGAUCCUUCCCCUGCUCAGAGGGAUAGGAAAAAGCUGCAACAACUUGGCAGAAGGAGAGCUAUGCCUUUAGAAUGGAAGAAAACAAAGAGACGUGUAGUAUCACUUGAACUUAUUUAAUAUGAAUAUAUAUAUAUAUAUUUCCUUUACAAAGAAAUAUGCAAUUAUGAAAAAAA